This 125-nucleotide microRNA precursor is filed under the name Daucus carota subsp. sativus. RNAcentral's name for it is "sRNA DCAR_mi00010". The record is from RNAcentral. Lineage: Eukaryota; Viridiplantae; Streptophyta; Magnoliopsida; Apiales; Apiaceae.
UAAUAUAUUGGUUCGUGGGUAUUGUAAGAUGGGGUGGUUAUCGGAUGCUGCGAAGGUUAUUGAGUUGAUGAGUUUGAAUGGUGUCCCGCCUGAUCUUUGGACUUAUAAUACUUUGAUUGACGGCU